Taeniopygia guttata (zebra finch) is the source of this 5684-nucleotide non-coding RNA. The record is from RefSeq and is a predicted model, not a curated record. NCBI's taxonomy places the organism in Eukaryota, Metazoa, Chordata, Aves, Passeriformes, Estrildidae.
AGCAUGGGCUCGGCUGGGCCGUGUGCAGCUCUGUGGGUGUGCGGGUCCGUUGCCGGCAAUGCUGGCCGUGUGGGCGGGGAAUGCCCGAAGGAUUCACACAGUCACACUACGGUUUGGUUUGGAAGGGAGCUCUGGUGAUCCUCCAGUCCAAACCCCUGCAGGCAGGGUCGCCUGCAACAAGUGGCACAGGAACGUGUCCAGGUGGGGUUUGAACGUCACCAGAAGAGAGAAUCCACGGUCUCCCUGGGCAGCCUGUGCCAGUGUUCUGCCGCUGUAAAGUUCUUCCUCCUGUUGAGGGGGAUCUUGUGUGUUGGUGUAUGGCUACUGCUUAUCAUCCUGUUGCUGGGCACCACCACUGCAAAGAGUCUGGCACCAUCCUCUUGGCACCCACCUUUGAGAUACUGACAUGCAUUAAUGUGAUCCCCUCUCAGUGGUCUCUAGUCUAAAUAGGCCCAGCUUCCAGUUUCCCCUCAUAAAAGAGGUGCUCCAGACCCCAAAUGAUCUUUGUGGGCCUCCACUGGACCCUCUCCAGUAGCUCCUUGUCUUUCUUGUACUGAGGAGCCUGGAACCACAGUGUGCCUUCUCACUUAAAAACAGAUAUGCAGGAUAGAUGCCUGAUUCCUUCAUAGCAGAUUUUCUUCCAAUGUAGAAAUGAGUUUUGUCAAUUAUAUCUUCCAAUGUAGAGGCUUGUAUUUUAUGUUUUUUAAUCCAAAACUAUUUUUUCAAUGUUCUUUGCUAAUCAUCAAAUAAAUAAUUAAUAGAAAUACAGUAGUUUUCCUGUCCACCAAACAGAAAUUGGUUUAUGUUUCUGAGCUCUGAAUGUUUAUAAGUGUUCACUGGUGGGCUGUAUCAGAACUGCAGUGUUUGAGGAAGGGAAGGCAUAAAGGUUACAUAAGACACAAUUGUGAUUAUACGUUUUGAAUUACGUUGUGUACAAAAUGUAUUUACACUGACUUCCAGAAAGGUAAACUUCCAUAACUAUUGUCUAUAUAUGCCACAUGAGAAACAAAGGAGUUAGUGACCCGUUUGUGCAUGCUGGGUCAGGAAAUGCUAGAAGUGUCUAUUUCUAGAAUUUGGUAGCUGGCUGUACCUGAGCCCAAUGUUUUAAUUGCUGUGCAGUGUGAGACUCCUGGUGAACAAUUCGCUGGGAGGUUCAAAUCUCUGAAAAGGCUUAGCCAGAUCUUUUAGCAUCCUGUUUAAAAAGAGCAGAGACAGACAAUACUGCAUCUAUACAGGACAACAUGUAAAUGUCUCAAGGGUGCUAGUUUUCUCCCUUGGGAUGAAAUGUUAGAGCAAAGUACAGCCUUCCAUGUAGAUUGGCAAAGGAGUGGCAAUUAAAUGCAGAAGGCAAAAACUACUCUUGGGUACACAAGACUUUAUUAGAAUAAGGGAGCAGCACUGGGCACACUACAACACCCAAUAGGAGCCAAGGAAACCUAUAUGGUGGGAGUGUUUGAGCUGUGAGAUGCCAACCCCACUUGAGUGAGAACAGCCGUGAACAAUUGCCUGUAUGUGCACCCUUAUAAAUAUACAGAUUGGUUUUGGGGUGCAGACUGACUGGCCUCAACAGAAUUGAAAUUUCUGCCUUCCAGCUUACAGCCCUGUCUCACAACUGCUGUCUGAGGCUGCUAGCAAGGAUUUAAUUUAAUGCUGAAAUCCUUGCAGGUGUGACAGUCUGAAUAAUGUGCUGAAUUGUGCGUGUCCGUGUGGGAGUUCAGGUGCAGCACCAGUGCUACCUCGUGGUGGAGGUGGAAGAAUUAAGUGUUGUAGCCCUUGUAUACUUGAAGACGGUCCUGUCAGGAGAGGUGGAGAUAGUGCCCUGGAGAGAGAAGAGGAGAGAAUGCUGCAGAUGAGGUGGGAAAAUCAACAGCUAAAAUAUGAAAUGUUGUUGCCAGAUUUAGACUAUUAGAAUAAAUUACAAAAGGUGACAAAGAACUUGUGACUACUUUGGGUUUGUGAUCACUUUGCAUUUUACUUGGGCUUUUGAAAUAUGAUGUCUCCAGGUUACUGAGAUUCCCUGAUUAUUUGACCAACAGUUAAUUGAAAUCACACAAGAGGAGUUGUGUAUCACUGCUGAGUUUUGCUGUCUGUGACAGAACAGACUCUUUGUUGUGAUUGCUGACUUCUUGCCCACUCUCCUGAUUUAUCCUAUUGGCAGGAAUACAUGGCGCCAGUAGGUUGGCUCAAGACAAUUUUCUAACAAUAAUCUUUGGCUAAAAGGAAAGUCACAGGGUGUCUGCAAUCCAUGUUCCUAUUGUCUGGUUUGUGCUAGAACUACUGGUGUCAGGAGUGUCACAGUCCCUGUGGCACCAGUGAUACCAGUGGUAGGUGAGAAAAUUGUUUUAUGGAGUAGCAAUGCAAGCUGGGAGUGGAGGGUGACAGUAAGUCAUGCAUGACAGUGGCUUCACCAGCAAGUACCAUAGCACCCAAACAAGAAUAGCAAAGCAGUUCUGGUGGUGGCUAGAAGUUCAGCCAAGAGUACAGAUCACCAGUAACCAUCCCAGUGAGCACAGUGACAAGGAGAUCUGAGGUCAAGCCAGAAAAACCAAGCCAGUGAGUCAGGGUCAGAAUCAGGUUCAGUGACAAUAAGCAGGACCAACCAGCCACCAGUCUUGUCAUCAUUAGACAAGCCCACAGUGAUGGGAAGGAUCCAAGAUCAUCUUAGUUAGGUCAGGGUUGGAUCAGUGUGUGUGGCCAGGCGCAGUCAUACCCGUAGCAUAGCUGAGUCAAGGACUAAGGGAGAGUGCUUCAAUGCAGGCACAGCUCUUGAGCAAAGUAGGUGGCACUCAAUUCUUACAGCUCUUUUUCACACAGCACUCUAAUCCAAGGUCACUUAGCUGCACAGAGCUGCCUUUGAGCACAAGCACCUUAAUGCUGACUAAGCCCCCAAGAAAGGGUCUAAUUAAGAACUUCACCCCAGCUGAGGGACAUACAUAUGUGACUGACUCAGUUUAUGUGGCUUAGUAUUUGUGUGCCAGAGUUUAUUUUAAAGACAUGUAAACCAUCAUAAUUUAUGACCAACUGGAGGAAUGGCCAGACAUACUCUCUGUACAUUAUUAAAUGCUGUAAAUAAUUCAGAAUUGAGGGAAUCAUAUGGAUCCUUGAUUCAUAUGGGUGUAUUUUCCUCCUCUUUUGACACAAUGCUCCUGUUAUCUUGGCAUACAAAAUUCUUUGGAUUUUCUUUUUCCUUUCUGCUGGGCCUUAAGACAUGACUGUCUUUGAACUCAGAAGAGGAUCCCAAGCUCAUCCAAGCUUGGAAAAUGAGCUAUGCUAAGGCAUUCAACAAAUAUUGCAAAGUGCCUGGGUUUUUAGCGACCUGCCAGGACUGACAGGACUGGUCAGGACUGACAGGCCUUCAGAGUGUGUGCCUCCAAACGGUGCCAUGGUCCUCUCUCUAGGACAUUUAAUGCUACAAAUGCUUUCAGCACUGACAUGCAGUCACACUGCUGAAAAUACAUUGCCUAUGAUAAAUUACAGCCACAACCCCCUCAAUUCUGGCUACAGUUGCUACAGUGGAAUGCUUGCUUGGGGGCUGACUUGACUCUGCAGGCAGAAGGAACUCAUUCACUCCCUUUGCAUUGGUAGGGCACCCAGUCUUGUGUCUUGGGAGAAAAAAAUAAGACUUAGAAGGGAAAGGUCAUGUCAGGUCUUCACUGGGAAGGUGCUCAGAUGAAUAAAUGUACUUCCAGGUGGACAUGCAAGACAUAUGUGAUCAGUUCUCACCGAACUCCUCUUAUUUCUGAGGUAGGGAUUCCAAGUGACAUGAAUUUUUAGUGGGCAGCAGUAACCAAGAGGUGCAGCUUUUUUCCCUUUGAAUGCUGGAACACAUAUUGGAGGGCUAAGCAGUUCCUGAUAUAAUAUUUCAGGAGUAUUACACUGUAGCAAAAAAAUACACACCACCUGUGUUGGAGGUCCUUUCAGAUGUCUUACAUUACUUACCUUUUGUCUUCUUGCUUAUAUUUUGGAAGCCUGACUAGCUGUGUUCCAAGCACAUCCAAGAACCCCCAGGUCCAGAAUAAAAUAAAUGUGACAGCAGGCUCAAUACUAUUAAUAGAGUUACUAUUAUUAGUUCCUGAGGUAGUCUUGGUCUUAGCUGAUGGAUUAACUUCAGACACUGAGGGAAGCUCAUGAUGUCUAUAGGUGGCUGAAGUCCAAAUCUGUCAGGUGUAGGCACACAGUUUGUGGCAACUGGGAGUGGGGCUGUGGCAGAGCCUCAUCCCCAAUGGGUACAGCUGUGAAAAGCAGGUGAGCAGCAUUGAAGGUAAUGAGCCAUGGAGUGCCCAGGUGCACUGACCAACCACCAAAGGGAACAGAGAGCACACAGGUGCAAUGCAUGAACAAUGAGGGCUGUAAAUGUUGAGCUAAAGAACAAAAAGGAUAGCUGUUUGAAGUCUGCUGAGGUGGUGGUGGUGUUCUGUAUGGGCUGAUGCUUGAAGCCUUCUGAAAUUGUAUGGUGGUACUCUGUAUAUUGUGCCUAUCUCAACUAUGGCAUAUGCUGUGAUGGUAAGAUGGCACAGAACUGGCUCAUACUUUUUUCCCUAAAUUUGGCAGCCUUGUGCAUAUGGACACAGAGAGGAUGUUUUGAAGGGAAAAGAAAGUAGUCAAGAAUGAAGUUAAAUUAUUUAUGGUGAGCAGAUGGAUUUAGGAAGUCUGCCUGCUGAGACAGAGGCAUGACUCUGCAAAUCAGGUAAGUGCUUAGUGGUCACGGAUAAAUCCUCUCCACAACCUUGGGAUUGUUCAUAGUAUAUGUAUGGUGCUGGGGGUAAAUAUUGCAUUCAAAUUUACAGUUCUUUUUAAAUUAAGAACUUCUGCAGUAGAGUACAUAUAGACUUUAUGAAACACUGUAUUUAUACAGCUGAGCACAUUCUCAGUGGCACACUACACUUUCUUUCCUGGCAGGGGGUUUCAGCAGCCUUCAUAAUCCUGAUAUUUUGUUUCUUUUUAUCUAGGUUCUACUGCUGCUUACCUCUAUUUUCUGAGGCAGAUUCUGCACUCUAUAUAUAUGAUUUAUUCAUGCUAAGCUUUCUUGGACCUCAUUAAGACUGUUUCCUGCUAAGUCAUGAAGAAACAAUGCAUACUUAGGCUCUCUGGUACAUAUGCCAUUAUUAAUUUCAUCUCUAAAUUUGGUUGCCUGAACUUUGACUGUUACUACCAAUAGCAACUGACCACAAACAUCCUUAACAGUAACAGCAUUACAGAGCAAGUGUGACCCCCUGGAAAAAGAAGGAUGACUGUGUGACUCCCUUCUCAUCUCUCUAUUCACCGUCUCCAAACUCUCCCUCACUCCAGGCCUUGUAUCCCAUCUACAUCUGGGUACACUUUUCCUUCCUCAAGUGGUUCAGUGUCUCUUGUAUCCUCUUCCCUCAGAAUAGCCACCAUGAGUCUCCUCUCUUUGAUCCUGCUCCUCUUCUCUUUCACAGACUUAUUUGAACACUUGAGACCUAAACUUGAGAUAUUCUCAAGGAUUUAAUCAACUUAUUUUCUCAGAGGUGCGCUGUUCCUACUGCUGUUGGAAGUGCAGGAUGUGCUAACUAGAGGCUCCAAAUACUGCUUUCUGGUUGACUCUGGUAUCAGAACCAGACAAUUCCUGCCCAAGGAUGUUUGUAGUAUUCUUUCAAUACUCUGUUAGUUAUUGAAUGUCAUGUUGUACAGUUAUGCUAUUAAAGGCAAACAUAAAUAAGCAA